AGCCGCCGCAGCCCCCAGGGACUCGGGGCGCUGCAGGGGAGACUCGCCUAAGUGCGGCAAGCGGGUCCGCGGGCACGCCCACCCGGGUCCGCCGGAGCUGGGGGGCUGGCGCUUGGGCCCCCUCCCGGCCUCCGCCCCUGAGCACUGCGCAGGCUGUGGGCGGCGCCCGCCGGGGCAGGGGGCGUCCCGGGUCACCCGGCGGCCCGGAUCGGCCCGUGACGCCCUCACCCCACCCCUCGGCGGGCCGCAAACGUCCAGAGAGCGCCCCCUCCCCAAGCCCCGACCUGAGCGGGGCGCUAGAAGCCGGGAGGACAAAUCAGACGAAACAGUGUUGACAUGAGGCAGAUCAGAUGGCCGGCCUUCCUGGUGACCAGAUUUCAGGACAGCAAGCAUCCCGGCCAGACCCCAGGCUGGAGUGCAAUAGCGUGAUCUCGGCUCACUGCAACGACUGCCUCCUGAGUUCAAGGGGUUCUCCUGCCUCAGCCUCCCGAGUAGCUGGGACUACAGGUGUGCACCACCACGCCCAACUAAUUUUUGUAUUUUUAGUAGAGACGGGUUUUACCAUGUUGGCCAGGAUGGUCUUGAUCUGUUGAACUCGUGAUCCGCCCGCCUCAGCCUCCCAAAGUGCUGGGAUUACAGAUGUGAGCCACCGUGCCCAGCCAACAGAUAGAUAUUAUUGUUGCCACUCUACAGAAUUGGAAACUGAGGCUCAGAGAGGUUAUACAUCAUGCCCAGGACCACACAGCAAGUCCUGACAGAGCCAGGGUUGAGCCCAGGCUCCCUGGCUUGGAGCCCAUGCUGCUGGCUUUCAGAGGGUUUUGAGCUCUUCUCCUCUGAGGGGCCCAGGACUGGGGUCAACAUGAAGGUGCCUCAGGUGACCCAGAAGGCAGCUGAGACCUGGACCCCCUCAAAGGCACGCGGGUGCCUGUCAUAGCUCUGGCAGUGACCACGAGCCCAUUGGCCUCUUCCUCCCUGUGAGAGCUGAGCAUGUCUCUGGGGCCUGGCAGGAAACCCAGCCUGUGUGUGUUUCUGCUGCUCAGUCACGUGAGACUGUGGGAAGCUGCUGGGAGGCUCAAGUGAGGCCCCUGCCCCAGCCACAGUGGCGGCCUGACCUCACAUUUCCUUCGCUUCUUCUCUGAGUGAGCAGAUGUGGCCAGCACCCACCACGUGCCAGGACCGUCCUGACACCCUGAGGGCGAGGGGGGCACCGUGGCAAUGUAUCGGAGGGAGAGGGCACAGGCUCUGCAGCUUGAAUACUAAGGCUGAGUCCCUUCUUGAGGGACCCCAGGCUCCUUGCUCCUGCAAUGGGGACCAUUGCACUUGCUAAUUUCACAUGUUUAUCCUUUCAUUUAUUUGCCUAUCCAUUGGUGGAUGGAGCCGUUAAAACAUAGUUAAUGAGCCUUUGUUUAUAGCCUGCAGCUAAGAAAAGAGCUCUGUGAAUCUAAAGCCCUGUAUGAAAUGUAGUUCUCUGAUGGGGGCGUCUGGGUACCUCCCACCACUGCCCCUGUGUAGCCUAGGCCAAGAGGGCCUUUGGUGCCAUUGAAGGACUGAGUGAAAACCUGACUUGUCUGAGGGCUCUGUGCACUGGGGGGCACCCCUGGACCCUACCCUGUCCCCUGUCACCAUAGUCAGGGAGACAGGCCCGACAGUGCACAGUGACUAACCCAGGGCCACACCAUGUGUUAGGCAGAAUAAUGGCCCUCUCCUCAAAGAAUUCCAUGUCCUGAUCCCUGUAGCCUGUGAAUUUGUGGCCUCACGCACUCCUUAUGGCGAGAGGAACUUUGCAGAUGUGAAUCAGGGUCUUGAGAUAGGGAGAAGGUGCUGCAUUCUCCCAGGGGGCCUGACAUCAUCACAAGGGUCCUUAUAAGAGGUGGGCAGGAGGGUCAGAGUGAGAAAAGGGCGAAAUGACAAUGGGAACAGAGAGAGAUUGGAAGAUGCCACCUCUGUGGCUUUGAAGCUGCAGGAAAUGGCCACAAGCCAAGGAAUGCAGGUGCCUCUGGAAGCCAGAAGGGCAAUGAGUGACCAGAUUCUCUCCUAGAGCCCCUGAAGGAGCACAGCCCCACCCACACCACAGCCUCCAGAACUGUAAGAGAAGAAAUUUAUGGGUUUCUUUUCUUUUCUUUUUUUUCUUUCUUUUCUUUCUUUUUUUUUUUUUUUUUUUUUUUUUUGAGAUGGAGUCUUGCUGUGUUGCCCAGGCUGGAGUGCAAUAGUGUGAUCUCAGCUCACUGCAACCUCUGCCUCCCAGGUUCAAGCAAUUCUCCUGCCUCAGCCUCCUGAGUAGCUGGGAUUACCACGCCCAGCUAAUUUUUGUAUUUUUAGUAGAAAUGGGGUUUCCCUAUGUUGGCCAGGCUGGUCUCAAACUCCUGACCUCAAGUGAUCCACCCGCCUCGGCCUCCCAAAGUACUGGGAUUACAGGUGUGAGCCACCAUGCCUGGCCAAAAUUUGUGUUGUUUUAAGCCUCUAAGUUUGUGGCUAUUUGUUAGAGCGGCCACCAGAAACCAGGAUACCCGGCAAGGCUGUGACUGGAGCCUGGGACUUCUGCCACCCAGCCUCUCUGCCCGGGAUGGGACCCCUGUUCCACGGCCUUCCAUCCAGAGCUCCCGGGCUGUGAGAUUGCCUGGGUGCUUCGAGAUUAUUUUUCCUUCCAUAGAGUGCUUAAAAUGUUACAAAGAAUAUUAUCUGUAUAAAAGAACUUGAAUAAUGUGGAAAAAGCUCACCCAAGCUCACCAGCGUCGCCAGCACUCACUGGCAGAACUGGAACCUGGAAGCCCCUAUGGGCUCCUCCCCAGGCAAACACUGCUCCAUCCUCCUGGAGGUGCUUACCCACCUGAAGCAUGUGCUUUACAGUUUUACACACAUUUGUGCCCACAGGGCACCUUUCAUGGGACACUCGUGCCAGCCAGGGGUGUGUAAGGAAGAUGGAGACUCUGUCCCAAACAGGGCUGCAGCGUCUCCUGAGAGAGGUGAAAAUGACCUCAGAAGCCAGUUUCUGAUGACAGGCCGGACAGGGAAGCAGCUCUCAGCCUCUGCCUGGGGCUCCUGGAACACCUGCUACCUCGACUCUCAGGCCUCACCCCUGCCACCCUGACCACCCCGCCCCCUGCAGCUGCUGAAGGGCCCUUCCUCUUGACUUGCAGAUCUGACUGUGAUUGAAAGGUAGUGUCUGUGCAGGAAGGGGACCAUCACACACCGGGGCCUGUUGUGGGGUGGGGUGAGGGGGAGGGUUAGCAUUAGGAGAUAUACCUAAUGUUAAUUGCAGCACACCAACAUGGCACA
RNAcentral lists this long non-coding RNA (3276 nucleotides) under Homo sapiens (human). Its description in RNAcentral is "HSALNT0406361". The record is from RNAcentral. Lineage: Eukaryota; Metazoa; Chordata; Mammalia; Primates; Hominidae.